Molecule: long non-coding RNA, 1433 nt
Filed under: Oryctolagus cuniculus (rabbit)
Lineage: Eukaryota; Metazoa; Chordata; Mammalia; Lagomorpha; Leporidae
Description: lncRNA (ENSOCUG00000037700.1)
Source: RNAcentral
CUUGGAGUAAGGACCUGGGUUUCCAAGGCCCCCGCCCCGAAACCCCCCGGCCGCAACCAACCCCCCCGCUUUAAGGCCCCCCCCCCCUGGUUGGAGCCCCCCCCCUGGAUGGGGGAUGGGACCUCAGGCCGAAGCCCGCCCUGCCCCGGAGGCCUGCCUGGCCCCCUUGAAAGCUUUGUGCCAACAGAGAGGUUCCCGUCCAGACCCAGGAGGGCGGAAGGAGAGACUGGGCCUGGGUGCCGAGGCCGGAAAGACACCUGCCUGCAGAGCCGGGCGAGGGCCACGGGUGUCGGAAGACUCUGUGCUCCCGCAGCACCGCCCAGACAGCCCGGCCUCGGCUCCUGACUCUCCACAACCGCGAUGGAUGUUUGCAGGAACCCAGCCAGCGUCUGCCUCCCCGCACUUGAUGUCCACUGCACCUGCUUGCACUUAACCUUCGGAGAAGACCCUUCAAGUGGAGGACACACUCAGGAGCCACGCCCAGCUCUGCCUGAGAAGCCCGGCUGGCCUCACUCAGCCUGAGGCUGGCCUCCUAUGCAGCCGCUUUCACGCCGAGACCCCGAGGGAAAAGCUGAGGAACGGCGUGGCAGCCGGGAGGAGGCCCUGACUUACCCAUUUCCAGUUGCUUGUCCCUUAUCGAGUUGGCAGAACCGAGACGUGUGCCAUGUCGCUCCUCUGGCCAGAAAUAUAUUUUUGAAAAUACGAGUGGUGUGGAUACUUGAUUUAGACAAACCUGUAAAAGCAAUACUUAGGAGGCUGACUUCUUUCAAUUAAAAAAGUAUGCAACUCCAACUCCCGGGGACCCUUUUUUUUUCCUUUGGGCUCAGGACUUCGGAAAGGGGUCCUUAUAUAGAAUCUCACUGACAAAGGGCAGAAGGGGCAGGGCCUCCCAGGGGAGAUCCAGCGUCUACCCCAGCUGGCCCCUCCCAGCCUGCAGCAGCCUGACACGCCUGGGGCAGCCCUUCAGUAGCACAGGAAAAGCCCGAGGGCCAAGCUGGAAGGAGCCCGAAUCCCAGGGGAGUGGAAGCGGACUUCCCUGUGCCCAGAACACCAUAAGCCGCCCUUCAGAUGAGGGGGUGAAUGACUAAACGGAUGAGUGAAAUUGGGCCAACUUGGCAGGUGCGUGGGAAACAGUGGAACCUCUGCCCAGCUUGCAGAGAACUUGGUGGCUCUCGAAGCCCUCUGACGUACACAGCAGGCUAAGCAGGGUGAUGCUCACAUUGGCAGAGAGGCCUGGGGAAGGGGAGGCUUUGGAAGGUGUGUAGGUUAACGCCCGCAGAAGGUGGCGCUGUGCCACCACCGUGCCGUGGCUCCCUGGACCCACAACCGUGCCCAUGGAAGUCUUCCAGUCACCUAUGGCGCUGACAUCCUGACUCCUCCCUUUAGAGGGGUGUGGCCUAGAAGUGUGACAUCUAGGACGCGUGGACAGUAAC